Molecule: ribosomal RNA, 406 nt
Filed under: uncultured bacterium
Lineage: Bacteria
Description: partial 16S ribosomal RNA
Rfam family: Bacterial small subunit ribosomal RNA
Source: RNAcentral
AUUGAACGCUGGCGGCAGGCCUAACACAUGCAAGUCGAACGAGUGGCGGACGGGUGAGUAAUGUCUGGGAAACUGCCCGAUGGAGGGGGAUAACUACUGGAACCGGUAGCUAAUACCGCAUACCAUCGGAUGUGCCCAGAUGGGAUUAGCUAGUAGGUGGGGUAACGUCUCACCUAGGCGACGAUCCCUAGCUGGUCUGAGAGGAUGACCAGCCAAAUGGGAACGGAGACACGGUCCAGAAUCCUACGGGAGGCAGCAGGGGGGAAUAGUGCACAAGGGGCGCAAGACUGAUGCAGCAAUGCCGCGUGUAUGAAGAAGGCCUUCGGGUUGUAAAGUACUUUCAGCGGGGAGGCGUUACUCGCAGAAGAAGCACCGGCUAACUCCGGGCCAGCAGCCGCGGUAAUAC